Molecule: transfer RNA, 76 nt
Filed under: Yersinia frederiksenii
Lineage: Bacteria; Pseudomonadati; Pseudomonadota; Gammaproteobacteria; Enterobacterales; Yersiniaceae
Description: tRNA-Phe(gaa)
Rfam family: tRNA
About the family: Transfer RNA (tRNA) molecules are approximately 80 nucleotides in length. Their secondary structure includes four short double-helical elements and three loops (D, anti-codon, and T loops).
Source: RNAcentral
GCCCGGAUAGCUCAGUCGGUAGAGCAGGGGAUUGAAAAUCCCCGUGUCCUUGGUUCGAUUUCGAGUCCGGGCACCA